GGGUCAGCGACUUAUAUUCUGUAGCAAGGUUAACCGAAUAGGGGAGCCGAAGGGAAACCGAGUCUUAACUGGGCGUUAAGUUGCAGGGUAUAGACCCGAAACCCGGUGAUCUAGCCAUGGGCAGGUUGAAGGUUGGGUAACACUAACUGGAGGACCGAACCGACUAAUGUUGAAAAAUUAGCGGAUGACUUGUGGCUGGGGGUGAAAGGCCAAUCAAACCGGGAGAUAGCUGGUUCUCCCCGAAAGCUAUUUAGGUAGCGCCUCGUGAAUUCAUCUCCGGGGGUAGAGCACUGUUUCGGCAAGGGGGUCAUCCCGACUUACCAACCCGAUGCAAACUGCGAAUACCGGAGAAUGUUAUCACGGGAGACACACGGCGGGUGCUAACGUCCGUCGUGAAGAGGGAAACAACCCAGACCGCCAGCUAAGGUCCCAAAGUCAUGGUUAAGUGGGAAACGAUGUGGGAAGGCCCAGACAGCCAGGAUGUUGGCUUAGAAGCAGCCAUCAUUUAAAGAAAGCGUAAUAGCUCACUGGUCGAGUCGGCCUGCGCGGAAGAUGUAACGGGGCUAAACCAUGCACCGAAGCUGCGGCAGCGACGCUGAUGCGUUGUUGGGUAGGGGAGCGUUCUGUAAGCCUGCGAAGGUGUGCUGUGAGGCAUGCUGGAGGUAUCAGAAGUGCGAAUGCUGACAUAAGUAACGAUAAAGCGGGUGAAAAGCCCGCUCGCCGGAAGACCAAGGGUUCCUGUCCAACGUUAAUCGGGGCAGGGUGAGUCGACCCCUAAGGCGAGGCCGAAAGGCGUAGUCGAUGGGAAACAGGUUAAUAUUCCUGUACUUGGUGUUACUGCGAAGGGGGGACGGAGAAGGCUAUGUUGGCCGGGCGACGGUUGUCCCGGUUUAAGCGUGUAGGCUGGUUUUCCAGGCAAAUCCGGAAAAUCAAGGCUGAGGCGUGAUGACGAGGCACUACGGUGCUGAAGCAACAAAUGCCCUGCUUCCAGGAAAAGCCUCUAAGCAUCAGGUAACAUCAAAUCGUACCCCAAACCGACACAGGUGGUCAGGUAGAGAAUACCAAGGCGCUUGAGAGAACUCGGGUGAAGGAACUAGGCAAAAUGGUGCCGUAACUUCGGGAGAAGGCACGCUGAUAUGUAGGUGAAGUCCCUCGCGGAUGGAGCUGAAAUCAGUCGAAGAUACCAGCUGGCUGCAACUGUUUAUUAAAAACA
This 1213-nucleotide ribosomal RNA is filed under the name Escherichia coli. RNAcentral describes it as "partial 23S ribosomal RNA". It matches the Rfam family "Bacterial large subunit ribosomal RNA", at positions 617 to 1815 of the family's 2925-position model. The record is from RNAcentral. Lineage: Bacteria; Pseudomonadati; Pseudomonadota; Gammaproteobacteria; Enterobacterales; Enterobacteriaceae.